RNAcentral lists this transfer RNA (68 nucleotides) under Lophuromys melanonyx (black-clawed brush-furred rat). RNAcentral describes it as "tRNA-Val". It matches the Rfam family "tRNA". Rfam says of the family: Transfer RNA (tRNA) molecules are approximately 80 nucleotides in length. Their secondary structure includes four short double-helical elements and three loops (D, anti-codon, and T loops). The record is from RNAcentral. Lineage: Eukaryota; Metazoa; Chordata; Mammalia; Rodentia; Muridae.
CAUAGCGUAGCUUAAUACAAAGCACCUGGCUUACACCCAGAAGAAUCCAACAUCAACGGACGCCAUGA